CCUACGGGUGGCUGCAGUGGGGAAUAUUGGACAAUGGGCGAAAGCCUGAUCCAGCCAUGCCGCGUGUGUGAAGAAGGCCUUCGGGUUGUAAAGCACUUGCAGUGGGGAAGAAAGCCUUGGGGCUAAUACCCUCGAGGAAGGACAUCACCCACAGAAGAAGCACCGGCUAACUCCGUGCCAGCAGCCGCGGUAAUACGGAGGGUGCGAGCGUUAAUCGGAAUUACUGGGCGUAAAGCGCGCGUAGGCGGUCUGAUAAGCCGGUUGUGAAAGCCCCGGGCUCAACCUGGGAACGGCAUCCGGAACUGUCAGGCUAGAGUGCAGGAGAGGAAGGUAGAAUUCCCGGUGUAGCGGUGAAAUGCGUAGAGAUCGGGAGGAAUACCAGUGGCGAAGGCGGCCUUCUGGACUGACACUGACGCUGAGGUGCGAAAGCGUGGGUAGCAAACAGGAUUAGAUACCCUAGUAGUC
This 465-nucleotide ribosomal RNA is filed under the name Vreelandella stevensii. RNAcentral describes it as "partial 16S ribosomal RNA". It matches the Rfam family "Bacterial small subunit ribosomal RNA", at positions 338 to 795 of the family's 1533-position model. The record is from RNAcentral. Lineage: Bacteria; Pseudomonadati; Pseudomonadota; Gammaproteobacteria; Oceanospirillales; Halomonadaceae.